GCGUGUAGCAAUACACGAGUGGCGCACGGGUGAGUAACGCGUGGAUAUCUGCCUUUUGGUUCGGAAUAACUCCGGGAAACUGGAGCUAAUACCGGAUGGUUCCUACGGGAUAAAGAUUUAUCGCCAAAAGAUGAGUCCGCGUACGAUUAGCUAGUUGGUGAGGUAAUGGCUCACCAAGGCGACGAUCGUUAGCUGGUCUGAGAGGACGAUCAGCCACACUGGGACUGAGACACGGCCCAGACUCCUACGGGAGGCAGCAGUGGGGAAUAUUGGACAAUGGGGGCAACCCUGAUCCAGCCAUGCCGCGUGAGUGAUGAAGGCCUUCGGGUUGUAAAGCUCUUUUGGCGGGGACGAUGAUGACGGUACCCGCAGAAUAAGCCCCGGCUAACUUCGUGCCAGCAGCCGCGGUAAGACGAAGGGGGCUAGCGUUGUUCGGAAUUACUGGGCGUAAAGCGAGUGUAGGUGGUUGUCAUAGUCAGGUGUGAAAGCCUUGAGCUCAACUCAAGAAAUGCACUUGAUACUGGGCGACUAGAGGACCGGAGAGGAUAGUGGAAUUCCCAGUGUAGUGGUGAAAUACGUAGAGAUUGGGAAGAACACCAGUGGCGAAGGCGGCUAUCUGGACGGUUUCUGACACUAAGACUCGAAAGCGU
Molecule: ribosomal RNA, 650 nt
Filed under: uncultured bacterium
Lineage: Bacteria
Description: bacterial SSU rRNA
Rfam family: Bacterial small subunit ribosomal RNA
Source: RNAcentral